RNAcentral lists this small RNA (1261 nucleotides) under Pan troglodytes (chimpanzee). RNAcentral's name for it is "retained intron". The record is from RNAcentral. Lineage: Eukaryota; Metazoa; Chordata; Mammalia; Primates; Hominidae.
AUGCCCCGCCCCCUCCCCAGCCCCAGACACGGACCCCGCAGGAGAUGGGUGCCCCCAUCCGCACACUGUCCUUUGGCCACCGGACAUCAUGCCUCCCAAGAAGGAUGUUCCCGUGAAGAAACCAGCAGGGCCCUCCAUCUCCAAACCUGCUGCUAAGCCAGCAGCAGCAGGGGCUCCUCCAGCCAAGACCAAAGCUGAGCCAGCUGUCCCCCAGGCCCCUCAGAAAACCCAGGAGCCUCCAGUCGAUCUCUCCAAAGUGGUGAUCGAGUUUAACAAGGACCAGCUGGAGGAGUUCAAGGAGGCCUUCGAGCUGUUUGACCGAGUGGGGGAUGGCAAGAUCCUGUACAGCCAGUGUGGGGACGUGAUGAGGGCCCUGGGCCAGAACCCCACCAACGCCGAGGUGCUCAAGGUCCUGGGGAACCCCAAGAGUGAUGAGCUGAAGUCCCGGCGUGUGGACUUUGAGACUUUCCUGCCCAUGCUCCAGGCAGUGGCCAAGAACCGAGGCCAAGGCACAUAUGAGGACUACUUGGAGGGGCUUCGUGUGUUUGACAAGGAGGGGAACGGCAAAGUCAUGGGAGCAGAGCUCAGACAUGUUCUCACCACCCUUGGUGAGACAGGCAAGGGGGACCAGAACUCCUUUAGAGUGGAGAGGGGGAUGGGGUGGGCCAGAAAAAAGACUGGACAGAUAAGCAGAGCUAGCAGGAGGAUUACUGUCCUGCAGGUUGUCAGCAGGAGACUGAGAAGGUCAGAGCUAUGGGGGUAGAAUCUGAAGGACUCGCUCUUCCAGAGGCUAAAGUGCCAUCCGGAGGGCAGAGGAAAAGGGAUGAGGCGGGAAACCUGAAUUUUCAUUUUGGAAGAGACGUGUGGGUUGUGUGUUCUGGUACAAGUCUCGUAACCUCCUGGGAUUGUUUCCUUGUGGGUCAAUACUUUCAGCAGUACUAGGGUGAAAUGGAAAGCAAGAGGCAUCCAUGACCAGGGGAGGAUUCCCUUGAGGACUGAGGCUAUGGGAGAAGAAGAGGUACCACUCUAAAGAGCGUGGCCUGGCCGGGUAUGGUGGCUCACGCCUGUAAUCCCAGCAUUUUGGGAGACCAAGGCGGGCGGAUCACCUGAGCUCGGGAGUUCGAGACCGGCCUGGCCAACAUGGUAAAACCCCAUCUCUAUUAGUAAUAUAAAAAUUAGGCGGGCAUGGUGGCACGCACCUAUAGUCCCAGCUACCCAGGAGGCUGAGGCAGGAGAAUCGCUGGAACCCGGGAGUCUGAGG